Molecule: ribosomal RNA, 572 nt
Filed under: uncultured bacterium
Lineage: Bacteria
Description: partial 16S ribosomal RNA
Rfam family: Bacterial small subunit ribosomal RNA
Source: RNAcentral
UGGGGAAUUUUGGACAAUGGGCGAAAGCCUGAUCCAGCAAUGCCGCGUGUGUGAAGAAGGCCUUCGGGUUGUAAAGCACUUUUGUCCGGAAAGAAAUCCUUGGCUCUAAUACAGUCGGGGGAUGACGGUACCGGAAGAAUAAGCACCGGCUAACUACGUGCCAGCAGCCGCGGUAAUACGUAGGGUGCAAGCGUUAAUCGGAAUUACUGGGCGUAAAGCGUGCGCAGGCGGUUUGCUAAGACCGAUGUGAAAUCCCCGGGCUCAACCUGGGAACUGCAUUGGUGACUGGCAGGCUAGAGUAUGGCAGAGGGGGGUAGAAUUCCACGUGUAGCAGUGAAAUGCGUAGAGAUGUGGAGGAAUACCGAUGGCGAAGGCAGCCCCCUGGGCCAAUACUGACGCUCAUGCACGAAAGCGUGGGGAGCAAACAGGAUUAGAUACCCUGGUAGUCCACGCCCUAAAACGAUGCCAACUAGUUGUUGGGGAUUCAUUUCCUUAGUAACGUAGCUAACGCGUGAAGUUGACCGCCUGGGGAGUACGGUCGCAAGAUUAAAACUUAAAGGAAUUGACGGGGU